This 253-nucleotide ribosomal RNA is filed under the name uncultured bacterium. RNAcentral's name for it is "partial 16S ribosomal RNA". It matches the Rfam family "Bacterial small subunit ribosomal RNA", at positions 524 to 776 of the family's 1533-position model. The record is from RNAcentral.
AACGUAGGUGGCGAGCGUUAUCCGGAUUUACUGGGCGUAAAGGGUGUGCAGGCGGGCUGUUAAGUGGUGCAUGAAAUCUCCGCGCUUAACGUGGAGAGGCUGUGCCAGACUGGCAGUCUCGAGUACGUGAGAGGGUUGUGGAAUUCCGGGUGUAGUGGUGAAAUGCGUAGAGAUCCGGAGGAACACCAGUGGCGAAGGCGGGUCUCUGGACAGUUCCUGACACUGAGACACGAAGGCCAGGGGAGCAAACGGG